AGUGAACGCUGGCGGUAGGCCUAACACAUGCAAGUCGAACGGCAGCACAGUAAGAGCUUGCUCUUACCGGUGGCGAGUGGCGGACGGGUGAGGAAUACAUCGGAAUCUACUUUUUCGUGGGGGAUAACGUAGGGAAACUUACGCUAAUACCGCAUACGACCUACGGGUGAAAGCAGGGGAUCUUCGCACCUUGCGCGAUUGAAUGAGCCGAUGUCGGAUUAGCUAGUUGGCGGGGUAAAGGCCCACCAAGGCGACGAUCCGUAGCUGGUCUGAGAGGAUGAUCAGCCACACUGGAACUGAGACACGGUCCAGACUCCUACGGGAGGCAGCAGUGGGGAAUAUUGGGCAAUGGGCGCAAGCCUGAUCCAGCCAUACCGCGUGGGUGAAGAAGGCCUUCGGGUUGUAAAGCCCUUUUGUUGGGAAAGAAAAGCAGCAGGUUAAUACCCCGCUGUUCUGACGGUACCCAAUGAAUAAGCACCGGCUAACUUCGUG
Molecule: ribosomal RNA, 492 nt
Filed under: uncultured bacterium
Lineage: Bacteria
Description: partial 16S ribosomal RNA
Rfam family: Bacterial small subunit ribosomal RNA
Source: RNAcentral